CAGUUGCUCUUGCGGUAGUUCCCCCAACUGUCACCAUGCAGUACGAGGAGGGUAAGACUGUGGACCUCUAUGUCCCCAGGAAGUGAGUUAAUCCCAAGCAGUGCAGACUCUCAAGCAUCAGUGUUGCCUUUUUCUUCUUGUGCCCACAAGGAAAUUCGGAAUUGUGUUCGCCUCAAUUUCUGUACCCAUCUUUGCAGCUCUGUAUUGUCCAACAAAACUUUGAUCAAUGGCGGGAUCAGGUAGAAUAAACCAAAAUAGGACAGUUCCAGACAUUCGUCCCUUUCCUCC
This is a long non-coding RNA of Zea mays, 288 nucleotides long. RefSeq lists it as uncharacterized. The transcript is spliced from 4 exons. Lineage: Eukaryota; Viridiplantae; Streptophyta; Magnoliopsida; Poales; Poaceae. The record is from RefSeq and is a predicted model, not a curated record.